RNAcentral lists this ribosomal RNA (517 nucleotides) under uncultured Planctomycetota bacterium. RNAcentral's name for it is "bacterial SSU rRNA". It matches the Rfam family "Bacterial small subunit ribosomal RNA", at positions 117 to 643 of the family's 1533-position model. The record is from RNAcentral. Lineage: Bacteria; Pseudomonadati; Planctomycetota.
GUGGAUACCUACCCUCGGGUCUUGCNAUAGCCGCGGGAAACUGCGGGUAAUACGAGAUAAUGUCUCCGGACCAAAGGUGUGAUUCCGUCCGAGGACGGGUCCGCGUCCUAUUAGCUAGUUGGCGGGGUAAUGGCCCACCAAGGCGAUGAUGGGUACGAGGCAUGAGAGUGUGCCCUCGCUCACUGGGACUGAGAUACUGCCCAGACACCUACGGGUGGCUGCAGUCGAGAAUCUUCCGCAAUGGGCGCAAGCCUGACGGAGCGACGCCGCGUGUGGGAUGAAGGCCUUCGGGUUGUAAACCACUGUCGUAGAGGAGGAAUGGCCAUAGGGUUCUCUCUAUGGUUUGACCUAUUCUAGGAGGAAGGAUGGGCUAAGUCCGUGCCAGCAGCCGCGGUAAGACGGACCAUCCAAACGUUAUUCGGAAUUACUGGGCUUAAAGGGUGCGUAGGCGGCGCGGAUAGUUCGGUGUGAAAUCCCUCGGCUUAACCGAGGAAUGGCGCUGAAUACUACCGUGCUC